UACGGAGGGUGCAAACGUUGCUCGGAAUUAUUGGGCGUAAAGCGCACGUAGGCGGACUGUUAAGUCGGAUGUGAAAGCCCUCAGCUUAACUGAGGAAGUGCACUCGAAACUGGCAGUCUUGAGUACGGGAGAGGGUCGCGGAAUUCCCGGUGUAGAGGUGAAAUUCGUAGAUAUCGGGAGGAACACCAGUGGCGAAGGCGGCGACCUGGACCGACACUGACGCUGAGGUGCGAAAGCGUGGGGAGCAAACAGG
Molecule: ribosomal RNA, 253 nt
Filed under: uncultured bacterium
Lineage: Bacteria
Description: partial 16S ribosomal RNA
Rfam family: Bacterial small subunit ribosomal RNA
Source: RNAcentral